CUACGGGAGGCAGCAGUGGGGAAUUUUGGACAAUGGGCGCAAGCCUGAUCCAGCCAUUCCGCGUGCGGGAAGAAGGCCUUCGGGUUGUAAACCGCUUUCGGCAGGGAAGAAACGGUGGGGGCUAAUACCUCCUGCUAAUGACGGUACCUGAAGAAGAAGCACCGGCUAACUACGUGCCAGCAGCCGCGGUAAUACGUAGGGUGCGAGCGUUAAUCGGAAUUACUGGGCGUAAAGCGUGCGCAGGCGGUUUUGUAAGACAGAUGUGAAAUCCCCGGGCUUAACCUGGGAACUGCGUUUGUGACUGCAAGACUUGAGUGCGGCAGAGGGGGGUGGAAUUCCACGUGUAGCAGUGAAAUGCGUAGAGAUGUGGAGGAACACCGAUGGCGAAGGCAGCCCCCUGGGUCGACACUGACGCUCAUGCACGAAAGCGUGGGGAGCAAACAGGAUUAGAUACCCCGGU
Molecule: ribosomal RNA, 460 nt
Filed under: uncultured bacterium
Lineage: Bacteria
Description: bacterial SSU rRNA
Rfam family: Bacterial small subunit ribosomal RNA
Source: RNAcentral